This 232-nucleotide ribosomal RNA is filed under the name uncultured bacterium. RNAcentral's name for it is "partial 16S ribosomal RNA". It matches the Rfam family "Bacterial small subunit ribosomal RNA", at positions 15 to 236 of the family's 1533-position model. The record is from RNAcentral.
GAUCCUGGCUCAGGAUGAACGCUAGCUACAGGCUUAACACAUGCAAGUCGAGGGGAAACGAUAUUGGAAGCUUGCUUCCGAUAGGCGUCGACCGGCGCACGGGUGAGUAACGCGUAUCCAACCUGCCCAUCACUUGGGAAUAACCUUGCGAAAGUAAGACUAAUGCCCAAUGACAUCCCACGAAGGCAUCCGAAUGGGAUUAAAGAUUUAUCGGUGAUGGAUGGGGAUGCGU